RNAcentral lists this non-coding RNA (253 nucleotides) under uncultured bacterium. RNAcentral's name for it is "partial 16S ribosomal RNA". It matches the Rfam family "Bacterial small subunit ribosomal RNA", at positions 524 to 776 of the family's 1533-position model. RNAcentral also lists the same sequence under 1 other name. The record is from RNAcentral.
UACGAAGGGGGCUAGCGUUGUUCGGAUUUACUGGGCGUAAAGCGCGUGUAGGCGGGCCGUUAAGUUGGGGGUGAAAUCCCGGAGCUCAACUCCGGAACUGCCUCCAAAACUGGCGGCCUGGAGCAGAUGAGAGGCGAGUGGAAUUCCGAGUGUAGAGGUGAAAUUCGUAGAUAUUCGGAGGAACACCAGUGGCGAAGGCGACUCGCUGGCAUCUUGCUGACGCUGAGACGCGAAAGCGUGGGGAGCAAACAGG